This 483-nucleotide ribosomal RNA is filed under the name uncultured bacterium. RNAcentral describes it as "partial 16S ribosomal RNA". It matches the Rfam family "Bacterial small subunit ribosomal RNA", at positions 28 to 507 of the family's 1533-position model. The record is from RNAcentral.
GAUGAACGCUGGCGGCGUGCCUAACACAUGCAAGUCGAACGGAGUCGUUUUGGAAAUCUCUUCGGAGAUGGAAUUCUCGACUUAGUGGCGGACGGGUGAGUAACGCGUGAGCAAUCUGCCUUUAAGAGGGGGAUAACAGUCGGAAACGGCUGCUAAUACCGCAUAAAGCAUUAAAUUCGCAUGUUUUUGAUGCCAAAGGAGCAAUCCGCUUUUAGAUGAGCUCGCGUCUGAUUAGCUAGUUGGCGGGGUAACGGCCCACCAAGGCGACGAUCAGUAGCCGGACUGAGAGGUUGAACGGCCACAUUGGGACUGAGACACGGCCAAGACUCCUACGGGAGGCAGCAGUGGGGAAUAUUGCGCAAUGGGGGAAACCCUGACGCAGCAACGCCGCGUGAUUGAAGAAGGCCUUCGGGUUGUAAAGAUCUUUAAUCAGGGACGAAACAAAUGACGGUACCUGAAGAAUAAGCGCCGGCUAACUACGUG